AGAACAAGGCUUAUCAUUUUUUUUUAACGGAGGAAAGGAAGGGAAAACAUCUUAGCCGCUACCAGCACCACCCCCACCGAUCUCAGCCAUCACCACCACUGCUGCCGCCAUCAUCACCACCACUGUAGCCACCAUGUCCAGUCUCAGCCGUCGCCACCAUCACUAGCCAUCAUCUUCUUCUUUCUUCUCCAUUCACAGAACCCUGAUUCUGCUUCAGUGGGGCUUCAAUCGAAAGCACAUGGGGCUUUGAUUGAAACCUUCGGGCUUCAAAUCAAACGCCCUAUGACUUGAAAUCGAAAAACAGGGGCUUCCAUCGAAGCUUUUGUGCUUCGAUUUUGAAGCCCAAAUGCUCGGGUUGAAGGCCCCAUUAUAGCUCUGGGAAAGGGGGAGGAUGAAGAAGCCGUAGCCGUCAACAACAAGCUGAAGAUGAGUGCGGUGUGGACGAACUGACGACGAGCUAGGAGGAAGAAGAAAAAGAAUAACUUGGACCAACUUGCGGAAGUUACAGACUCCCGGAGGCAGGUGCAAAAGACCCUUGUCUAAUGCUUUUCUUUCAGCUUGUGGCCUUUCUUCUGGUGUGUAGUUCAUGGACAUACUGAGGACUUAUAUGGGAGUUCAAUUGGCGUGCAACAACUUCCGUCUGGAAUCAAAUUAGAAGCUCACGAAGCAUGAAACAAGCUUUUGACUCAACUUUUUGUUUAUAUAUGUAUAUGUGGAUAUAUUAUCUCAAGUUUUAUCAGAGAAGGUUGAAUUUUAUGACCAUGUGAACUAAUGCAAUGCUUUCAUUUUCAUUUGCUUUCAGGACCCUCUAGGAGCUUUAGUUGGCAUCCAUUUUGAAAUUUGCAACCUUCAGGUAUGUAUGUAGCUUAGGCUUGAUAUUCUAAGCGUGUUAAAUAUUGCCGGACCUUGAACCACUGUGCAACUGUCUCUUUUUAAUUAGUUCAGUUUUGAUGCCUAGAUCCCUUUUUGUAUAUGACUGAUAGAUUAUGCUUGAGAAAAGCACAAAAACCCUCCUCGUGGUUUGAGUUUGAGGCAAAUUGAAUCCCGUGAUUUUUUUAGGGAUAAAUAACACCUUGCAUUUACUUUGUAAGACGUAAUGGACCUCACCGUUAAUUUUUUCAUCACUUUUGGUCCUUAAAUUUUUCUUUGUCAUUAUUACCCUCAGACUUUCAAUUUUUUGCAAUUUGAUCUUAAAAUUCGAAAAAGAAAAGGGGGGAAAGGGGCUUGGGCCGCCAGUCGGCAACCUCAACCCCACCAUCAAGGUUGCCGACACUCAAUGAAUAUGUCGGAAACCUCGAGGGUGGGGUCGGGAUCUUCAAUUGGUGGCCUUAACUUCCGAAUCGAUCGAGAUUUCGAGCUCUAGAUCCCGAUAGAUUCAGGGACGGGGUUGCCAAUCUACGGCCUCGACCCCACCUUAAUGGUCGUCGGCAUUCUCUGUGGGUGCAUGCGAACUCGGUGGUGGGGUUGGAGUUGUCAUCUGACGCCCUCGGCCCCUUAGCUUAUUUUUUUUGAAUUUUAGGACCAAAUUGAAAAAAAGUUAAAAGUUUGAGGGUAAUAAUGGCAAAAAGAAAAGUUUGAAGACUAAAAAGUGACGAAAAAAAUUAACGGUGAGAACCAUUACAUGAAUCAAAUUGUGUUAUUUGUCUCUUAAAAAACUAUAGGGUCCAACUUGUCUAAAGCUCAAACUAUAAAGGGGAUUUUUGUAUUUUUCCCGCUAGGUUUUAUAUCACUUUAGGGCGGUUUGUAAUAACUUCAAAUUUUGAGCAAAAAUAAAUGUUUUAGUGUUUAAAUACAUUAUUAGUGAUUCAUUUUUGCUUAAA
This is a non-coding RNA of Punica granatum (pomegranate), 1820 nucleotides long. Lineage: Eukaryota; Viridiplantae; Streptophyta; Magnoliopsida; Myrtales; Lythraceae. The record is from RefSeq and is a predicted model, not a curated record.